UACGGGGGGGGCAAGCGUUGUUCGGAAUUACUGGGCGUAAAGGGCGCGUAGGCGGCCUGCUAAGUCGGACGUGAAAUCCCUCGGCUCAACCGGGGAACUGCGUCCGAUACUGGCGAGGCUUGAAUCCGGGAGAGGGAUGUGGAAUUCCAGGUGUAGCGGUGAAAUGCGUAGAUAUCAGGAGGAACACCGAUGGCGAAGGCAGGUCUCUGGGCAUUAACUGACGCUGAGGAGCGAAAGCAUGGGGAGCGAACGGG
Molecule: ribosomal RNA, 254 nt
Filed under: uncultured bacterium
Lineage: Bacteria
Description: partial 16S ribosomal RNA
Rfam family: Bacterial small subunit ribosomal RNA
Source: RNAcentral